Molecule: long non-coding RNA, 286 nt
Filed under: Gallus gallus (chicken)
Lineage: Eukaryota; Metazoa; Chordata; Aves; Galliformes; Phasianidae
Source: RNAcentral
ACAGUGCUGUGUGUGACACAACAGUGCAAUGUGUGACACAACAGUGCAAUGUGUGACACAACAGUGCAAUGUGUGACACAACAGUGCUGAGUGUGACACAACAGUGCAAUGUGUGACACAACAGUGCUGAGUGUGACACAACAGUGCUGUGUGUGACACAACAGUGCUGUGUGUGACACAACAGUGCAAUGUGUGACACAACAGUGCUGUGUGACACAACAGUGCUGAGUGUGACACAACAGUGGCAAUGUGUGACACAACAGUGCUGAGUGUGACACAACAGUGC